RNAcentral lists this transfer RNA (72 nucleotides) under Caenorhabditis remanei. It matches the Rfam family "tRNA". Rfam says of the family: Transfer RNA (tRNA) molecules are approximately 80 nucleotides in length. Their secondary structure includes four short double-helical elements and three loops (D, anti-codon, and T loops). Lineage: Eukaryota; Metazoa; Nematoda; Chromadorea; Rhabditida; Rhabditidae. The record is from Rfam by way of RNAcentral.
UCCGUUGUGCUAUAGUGGUUAGGAUUUAUGGAUCUCACCCAUAAGGCCGGGGUUCGAUUUCCCGCAACGGAA